AAACCGGUGGAUUACUGAGUCAAGCGCACCAACUAAACUGACUUUUUUGGGAUAUAAAGAAGGACUUUAUCGAACAAAAGGUCCAUUUGUUAUGUAGCUGGGACACUUGUGAUUGCAACCAGAUGAAGAUCUUGAAAGAAAGACCUUUGUGAAGACCAACUUACAGAAGAGGAGAGGCAAUAACAUCUUUUCAGUCUGGAAAAACACCAAGGCUUGAUGGGAUACCAGUAGAGAGAUGAGGGAGGAAGGUUCUGCUAACGGUGGUUUGCUGAUGGAGUUUUGUUAAUUUCCUAAUGGUUUCUUGUGGGAAAUUAAAUCACCAACACUAUAUUCAAAAUACUCAGAUAAAGCAAUUCAUACUGUCAUAGAUUUAAGGAAAUUGUUAUACAUUUACAAAAAAAAUUUAACAAUAAGACAUUUGGAAGAAUGUAUUAUAAUCAAAAGCGUGG
RNAcentral lists this long non-coding RNA (449 nucleotides) under Salmo salar (Atlantic salmon). RNAcentral describes it as "lncRNA (ENSSSAG00000104509.1)". Lineage: Eukaryota; Metazoa; Chordata; Actinopteri; Salmoniformes; Salmonidae. The record is from RNAcentral.